GACGAACGCUGGCGGCGUGCCUAAUACAUGCAAGUAGAACGCUGAAGAGAGGAGCUUGCUCUUCUUGGAUGAGUUGCGAACGGGUGAGUAACGCGUAGGUAACCUGCCUUGUAGCGGGGGAUAACUAUUGGAAACGAUAGCUAAUACCGCAUAACAAUGGAUGACCCAUGUCAUUUAUUUGAAAGGGGCAAAUGCUCCACUACAAGAUGGACCUGCGUUGUAUUAGCUAGUAGGUGAGGUAACGGCUCACCUAGGCGACGAUACAUAGCCGACCUGAGAGGGUGAUCGGCCACACUGGGACUGAGACACGGCCCAGACUCCUACGGGAGGCAGCAGUAGGGAAUCUUCGGCAAUGGGGGCAACCCUGACCGAGCAACGCCGCGUGAGUGAAGAAGGUUUUCGGAUCGUAAAGCUCUGUUGUAAGUCAAGAACGAGUGUGAGAGUGGAGAGUUCACACUGUGACGGUAGCUUACCAGAAAGGGACGGCUAACUACGUG
RNAcentral lists this ribosomal RNA (497 nucleotides) under uncultured bacterium. RNAcentral describes it as "partial 16S ribosomal RNA". It matches the Rfam family "Bacterial small subunit ribosomal RNA", at positions 28 to 507 of the family's 1533-position model. The record is from RNAcentral.